This 83-nucleotide transfer RNA is filed under the name Vulpes vulpes (red fox). It matches the Rfam family "tRNA". Rfam says of the family: Transfer RNA (tRNA) molecules are approximately 80 nucleotides in length. The record is from Rfam by way of RNAcentral. Lineage: Eukaryota; Metazoa; Chordata; Mammalia; Carnivora; Canidae. RNAcentral also lists the same sequence under 1 other name.
GCCUGGGUGGCUCAGUGGUUGAGCAUCUGCCUUAGACUCAGGUCGUGAUCCCAAGGUUAUGGGAUCGAGUUCUGCCUCAGGCU